AUCAAUUGCUCGUCUUGGGGU
RNAcentral lists this microRNA (21 nucleotides) under Picea abies (Norway spruce). RNAcentral's name for it is "pab-miR11435". Lineage: Eukaryota; Viridiplantae; Streptophyta; Pinopsida; Pinales; Pinaceae. The record is from miRBase by way of RNAcentral.